CAAGUAUUAAAAAUUAUUAAGUAAAAGUUCACAAUACAGACAACUGGUAAAACAAAUUGUUCAUAAAUUUCAAAAUUUACAAAAAAUCAAUGAAAGCACUUCGGAAAAAAUAUGUCUUAAGAUCCUUUUUAAAAACGUCAAGAGAUUGUUCAUUUCGUAAGGAUGAAGGUAAGCUGUUCCAAAGAGUUGGUGCGGCAAUAUCGAACCGUCGUUCACCAUAGCGUUUUGUCCUAACAUCGUUUGGUAGUCGUAACAGCAUGCUUUUCUCCGAUCGCAAGGCUCUACCAGGUUUGUAAUGUUCAACUAAUUCCUGUAGGUAUGAUGGUGCCUUGCCAUGAAUUGCUUUAAAAAUGUACAGCAGGAGUUUGUACUGACAACGAAAAUGAACCGGUAACCAGUGCAAUGAAAUGAGAACAGGUGUUAUUGAAUCGUAUUUUCUCUUGCGCGUUAUUAGCCGUGCUGCUGUAUUUUGCACACGCUGUAGUUUUGUUAUUACACAGCUAUUUGUUCCGUAUAACAGCGCAUUACCAUAAUCUAGUCGUGAUGUAACGAGUGAGCACACUAGAGUCUUACAUGCCUCAUCUGUAAUCAGGGAUCUAAUGCGACCAAUAUUUCGUAUCUGAUGAAAACAUGCUUUUGUCGUUGCACUAGCUUGUUGUUCCAUGCUGAGUGUUUUGUCAAAAUAAAAUCCAAGAUUUUUCACACAAGAAGCAUCAGUCAAUAUAGUUCCAUCGAAUGUUAGUUGGAAACUGGAUAGUUGCUUUAGUUGUUGUUUUGGUGCAAACACAAUUAAUUCGGUUUUGUCUUUGUUUAAUUUAAGCAUGUUGAUACUCAUCCAUGCACUGAUAUCCGACAAACAGUUCUCAAGACGAUUGGAGAGGUCCGACCAGUCUCCAAGAGGUUUAAUGACUUGAUACACUUGCGUGUCGUCAGCGUAUGAAUGGUAAGACAUCCCAUGUCGCCUGCAAAUUUCUCCGACUGGUUUGGCAAACAUACAGAAAAGUUUUGGUCCCAACACAGAGCCUUGUGGUACACCAAAGCCGAGUCUGA
Molecule: long non-coding RNA, 1050 nt
Filed under: Mytilus galloprovincialis (Mediterranean mussel)
Lineage: Eukaryota; Metazoa; Mollusca; Bivalvia; Mytilida; Mytilidae
Source: RNAcentral